UUGGAGGCUUCAUCCUCCCUGGUACCCGGUCCCCAUCCAUCUCCUCUUCUUCCCCUGACACUUGUCUGUAUGCGAGGAGAGAGGAGGGAGGCUGGGAGCGACUUGCACGCUGGAGGAGCUACGAGGAGGUUCAGUCAAAAUGGACUCCACCAAUGGACAAGUCAAAGGGGGGCCUACAAAUAAAGUUGCGAAUUCUAGACCCAUUGCGACCAGAAACGUGAAAACUGCAAGUCCAUCUCAGUCUCCUAAAACAGCUACAGAUAGCCCCCGACCAGCGAGCGCUAGAAUUGCAGGGCCACCUUCCAAAUCUGCCAGUGCCAAAG
Molecule: long non-coding RNA, 323 nt
Organism: Nanorana parkeri
Lineage: Eukaryota; Metazoa; Chordata; Amphibia; Anura; Dicroglossidae
Exons: 3
Source: RefSeq, a predicted model, not a curated record